AACGAACGCUGGCGGCAGGCCUAACACAUGCAAGUCGAGCGAACCCUUCGGGGUUAGCGGCGGACGGGUUGGUAACGCGUGGGAAUAUACCCUUUGGUACGGAAUAGCCUCGGGAAACUGAGAGUAAUACCGUAUGUGCCCUUCGGGGGAAAGAUUUAUCGCCAAAGGAUUAGCCCGCGUUGGAUUAGAUAGUUGGUGGGGUAAUGGCCUACCAAGUCUACGAUCCAUAGCUGGUUUGAGAGGAUGAUCAGCAACACUGGGACUGAGACACGGCCCAGACUCCUACGGGAGGCAGCAGUGGGGAAUCUUAGACAAUGGGCGCAAGCCUGAUCUAGCCAUGCCGCGUGGACGAUGAAGGCCUUUAGGGUUGUAAAGUCCUUUUCAGAUGGGAAGAUAAUGACGGUACCAUCAGAAGAAGCCCCGGCUAACUCCGUG
RNAcentral lists this ribosomal RNA (435 nucleotides) under uncultured bacterium. Its description in RNAcentral is "bacterial SSU rRNA". It matches the Rfam family "Bacterial small subunit ribosomal RNA", at positions 29 to 507 of the family's 1533-position model. The record is from RNAcentral.